ACCAUAUGAUCCAGCAAUCUCACUCCUGGACAUAUAUCUGGAGGGAACUCUAAUUCAAAAAGAUACAUGCACCCAAAUGUUCACAGCAGCGCUGUUUACAACAGCGAAGACGUGGAAGCAACUUAAACGUCCAUCGACAAAUGACUGGAUAAAGAAGCUGUGGUAUAUUUAUACCAUAGAAUACUACUCAGCCAUAAAAA
This is a non-coding RNA of Vicugna pacos (alpaca), 200 nucleotides long. The record is from RefSeq and is a predicted model, not a curated record. Lineage: Eukaryota; Metazoa; Chordata; Mammalia; Artiodactyla; Camelidae.